AUAAUUUUGUUCAUAAUGAAAAUAAUUCGAAUUGAACGACAUCCAUAUUUCAUCCUUUAUUAUUUUCAAAACGAUCGAGAAAAAUAACAAUUGAACGUUGAAUGAAUUCAUUUUAUAGAGACAGGAAGACAGACAGAGAGAGAGAGAGAGAGAGAGAGAGAGAGAGAGAGAGAGAGAGAGAGAGAGAGAGAAAGUUAUCGUGGACAAUAAAAAUAGAAUUAACAAAAAGAAAAAAGAAAAAUAAAAAGAAAAAGAAGAGAAAAUGGGAUGAAAAUAAAAAUAAAAAAAAAAAAAAAAAUAUAUAGUGAAUGAACAGGAAGGAAGAUCAAUUGGCAUGCGGUAGAAGGUAAAGGAUAAAGAGAUGGCUGCCUCGUGUCGAUGAUGGUGCUCCCUUCUAACAUCGAGCUCUGUAAUUAUCGCCAUCGGCCGUGGGAAUUGAAUUACGAGUCGAUAAAGAUCGAAGGAAGCGAUACGCAGGCGAUAGGUUUUGACAGAAAGGCAAGGUAAGAUCAUCGAUCCAAGCAAGUCGCAGGCGCAAACAGGUUGCUGUGGUCGCGAGAACGCGCCAGGAGAAGAGAUCGUGAAAGCAUCGAACAGGUUCGCAGGAGGUUCCAGAGAAGAGUGAGCACGCCCGCGAACAGCUUCAAAAGAUAAUAGCUCGCGCGCAUGCGCUCGGACCGGGCGAAUGUAUUCUCGAGUAUCAAGUCAAAAUGAUGAUGAUGGGGUUUGAACGACGUCGACGCCUCGAAGCUAAAGAGAGAAGAAAAGGAGAUGAGUUGCAGAUAAAUGCUGCAACGAGGGAUAAGAGGGAAGGAGAUAAAAAAGGCAGUGGAAGAGAAAGAGAGAGAGACAGAGAGAGAGAGACAGAGAGAGAGAGAGAGAGAGAGAGAGAGAGAAAGAUGACAGAUUAUACAAUAUUGCCAGCUAACAUCAGAGCUAAGUUCCCGGAAGCAUGAGGUCAUCUCUGGCGAGCUAACAACUUCCUCUUAACUCCAAAAUGAAGAUGCUUUCUCUUGGGAACCGUAAACGACGAUCGCGAUUCGACGUUUCUUAAAGAGAUAAUCUACAUUGAGAUUUGAGAAACCAAGUGUUUUUAUCGAGAGUGCCUCUCGUUUGACUGAACAGGAUCAUCCAUUAAAUACUAUGAGAAUACGAGCUCGUUAUCAUCGUAUUAAUAAUAAUUCAUUGGAAGAGAAAUAACGUUCAGAUUGACCGGAGAUUGACGGGGGAAGAAUAUUGUACAAGACAAAGGAGUCCCAUAUGAAGGCACACGCACGGAAGUCAACUGUCCGUGGACGACAAAUCGUUUAACUUCAAUAUGAGUCAUGGUACACUUCGUUGGAUAAUAUAAUUAUUCUUUGAGUUCAUCAAAGCAGCAUGAAAUCUUAUCAGAAGGAUGGGAACACUUGGAAAUCAUCGGACCAUCAAUUUAAGAAAUACAAAGAAUACAGAAUUAUCAUCAAGAGGAUAUGGAAUAAUCGGAAAUCAUUUGUAACAUUAUAAAAUACAAUUAUCUGUAAAAUAAAGCAUUGUGAAAGAGAGAAAAUGAGAGAGACAGAGAGUAUGUGAGAGAGACAAAAAAAGAGAGAAAGAGAGAGUUAAACUUCAUUAUAGCUGUACUUAAAGACCAACAAUGCAUUGUAUUGCGUUAUCUCACAAAUAAUUAUAUAAUUUUGUAAAAAGCACCUAUUAUAUUACUUGCAAAUUAUCUGUAUCGAAAGCGACUAGUUGUAUAAUUAUUGAAUGCAAUGUAUUUCUCAUGUAUUCCAGAUGGAAAAAAUAUAAAUAAAAAUGUUUUAUAUGAACAGAAACCAAAUGUGUUUUUCAUUAAAUACACCUGAAAACCGUCUCAACUCCUUGAAAGUUAUAUUCCCCUGUUUAAAAAUACUAACUACAGAGAGAGAAGAAAAAUAUCCCGCAAAUCUAAAUUUGUAACAGGAUCGCAUGACGCGCAAAGAGG
Long non-coding RNA from Vespa crabro (European hornet), 1960 nucleotides. RefSeq lists it as uncharacterized. The record is from RefSeq and is a predicted model, not a curated record. Lineage: Eukaryota; Metazoa; Arthropoda; Insecta; Hymenoptera; Vespidae. The transcript has 5 exons.